RNAcentral lists this non-coding RNA (23 nucleotides) under Arabidopsis thaliana (thale cress). Lineage: Eukaryota; Viridiplantae; Streptophyta; Magnoliopsida; Brassicales; Brassicaceae. The record is from RNAcentral.
UUAACAACAAUUGCCAUAUUUGG